UGCCGGCAAAUGGUUUGGAGAUCCAGAAGAAGAAAUAAAUGGAAAUAUGUCAUACCGCGACAACCAGGACCCAGGAGCAGAAGAACUAAGAAAACUAAGAAUUAAGGACAGAUGAAGGAAGAUGUGGUGAAUUUGAGCCCGAUGAUCAAUCGUGCAGACUGCACACAAGACAACACAUAUAAACAUGAUGCAACCGAAGCAAGGAACAUUAAAUAAGAAGCAAUUGGCAGGACCUUCACUA
Long non-coding RNA from Microtus ochrogaster (prairie vole), 241 nucleotides. RefSeq lists it as uncharacterized. NCBI's taxonomy places the organism in Eukaryota, Metazoa, Chordata, Mammalia, Rodentia, Cricetidae. The record is from RefSeq and is a predicted model, not a curated record. The transcript has 3 exons.